This 477-nucleotide ribosomal RNA is filed under the name uncultured bacterium. Its description in RNAcentral is "bacterial SSU rRNA". It matches the Rfam family "Bacterial small subunit ribosomal RNA", at positions 28 to 507 of the family's 1533-position model. The record is from RNAcentral.
GAUGAACGCUAGCGGCAGGCUUAACACAUGCAAGUCGAGGGGUAUAGUUUUCGGAACUAGAGACCGGCGCACGGGUGCGUAACGCGUAUGCAAUCUACCUUUUGCAGAGGGAUAGCCCAGAGAAAUUUGGAUUAAUACCUCAUAGUAUAGCGACAUCGCAUGAUGAUGCUAUUAAAGUCACAACGGCAAAAGAUGAGCAUGCGUCCCAUUAGCUAGUUGGUAAGGUAACGGCUUACCAAGGCAACGAUGGGUAGGGGUCCUGAGAGGGAGAUCCCCCACACUGGUACUGAGACACGGACCAGACUCCUACGGGAGGCAGCAGUGAGGAAUAUUGGACAAUGGGCGCAAGCCUGAUCCAGCCAUGCCGCGUGCAGGAUGACGGUCCUAUGGAUUGUAAACUGCUUUUAUACAGGAAGAAACACUGGUUCGUGAACCAGCUUGACGGUACUGUAAGAAUAAGGAUCGGCUAACUCCGUG